This 1503-nucleotide ribosomal RNA is filed under the name uncultured Bordetella sp. RNAcentral's name for it is "partial 16S-23S ribosomal RNA intergenic spacer". It matches the Rfam family "Bacterial small subunit ribosomal RNA". The record is from RNAcentral. Lineage: Bacteria; Pseudomonadati; Pseudomonadota; Betaproteobacteria; Burkholderiales; Alcaligenaceae.
UCACGUUCAAUUUACGUAUUAUCUCAGUGGGCAUCUCGAUAAUACUGAAGGGUUCGAUCCUGGCUCAGAUUGAACGCUGGCGGGAUGCUUUACAUGCAAGUCGAACGGCAGCACGGACUUCGGUCUGGUGGCGAGUGGCGAACGGGUGAGUAAUGUAUCGGAACGUGCCUAGUAGCGGGGGAUAACUACGCGAAAGCGUAAUAAUACCGCAUACGCCCUUCAGGGAAAGCAGGAGACCUUCGGGCUCGCUGCUAUUGAAGCGGCCGAUAUCGGAUUAGCUAGUUGGUGGGGUAACGGCUCGCAAGGCGACGAUCCGUAGCUGGUUUGAGAGGACGACCAGCCACACUGGGACUGAGACACGGCCCAGACUCCUACGGGAGGCAGCAGUGGGGAAUUUUGGACAAUGGGGAAACCUGAUCCAGCCAUCCCGCGUGUGCGAUGAAGGCCUUCGGGUUGUAAAGCACUUUUGGCAGGAAAGAAACGGCAGGAUAAUACCCCGUGCAACCGACUUCUGCGAAGAUAAGCACCGGCUAACUACGUGCCAGCAGCCGCGGCAGUGGCGUAGGGUGCAAGCGUUAAUCGGAAUUACUGGGCGUAAAGCGUGCGCGAGCGGUUCGGAAGAAAGAUGAAAUCACAGAGCUUAACUGCAGUUACAUUUUUAACUACCGAGCUAGAGUGAGUGUGUCAGAGGAGGUGGAAUUCCGCGUGUAGCAGUGAAGUAGAUAUGCGGAGGGAACACCGAUGGCGAAGGCAGCCUCCUGGGAUAACACUGACGCCAUGCACGAAAGCGUGGGGAGCAAACAGGAUUAGAUACCCUGGUAGUCCACGCCUAAACGAUGUCAACUAGCUGUUGGGGCCUUCGGGCCUUGGUAGCGCACCGUAAGCUAUUGAAGUUGACCGCCUGAAAUUAGUCGCAAGGUCAAACUCAAAGGAAUUGACGGGGACCCACAAGCGGUGGAUGAUGUGGAUUAAUUCGAUGCAACGCGAAAAACCACCUACCCUUGACAUGUCUGAUCCGAAGAAGAGAUUUACGGUGCUCGCAGAGAACCGGAACACCCCGAUUGUGGCUGUCGUCAGCUCGUGUCGUGAGAUGUUGGGUUAAGUCCCGCAACGAGCGCAACCUGUGUCAUUAGUUGCUUGAAGAGGCACUCUAAUGAGACUGCCGGUAGGCAAACCGGAGGAAGGUGGGGAUGACGUCAAGUCCUCAUGGCCCUUAUGGGUAGGGCUUCACACGUCAUACAAUGGUCGGGACAGAGGGUCGCCAACCCGCGAGGGCCAAUCUAGAAACCCGAUCGUAGUCCGGAUCGCGAUCACCACAUCGACUGCGUGAAGUCAGAUCAGCAAUAAUCGCGGAUCGCUGUCGCGGUGAAUACGUUCCCGGUGCCCAGCACACCGCCGUCACACCAUGGGAGUGGGUUUUACCAGAAGUAGUUAGCCUAACCGUAAGGAGGGCGAUUACCACGGUAGGAUUCAUGACUGAGGCAGAGUAGUCUUAACAGAUGG